GAGCUUUGGCUGUGUUAAAGCUUUAGAGCGUAACUUUUUGAUAUUAAUGAACGUCCGUUAAAUUCAAGCCAUUGUGAAAUGGGUUGCUACAAAGCUGAUUAAUACUAUCAGCUCCACAGAACUCUCUCAAUAUAUAUCAGCAUGGCCGUGUUCAGAAGAUUGUGGCGUCCGGCGACUUGCACGCGCAGAAACUUGAGCGAAGCUAAUAAGCUCUUCUGAAGAGUCCAUCAUGUUUUUUUAAUCAUCUGUGUCCU
Etheostoma spectabile (orangethroat darter) is the source of this 254-nucleotide long non-coding RNA. RefSeq lists it as uncharacterized. The record is from RefSeq and is a predicted model, not a curated record. Lineage: Eukaryota; Metazoa; Chordata; Actinopteri; Perciformes; Percidae. The transcript has 3 exons.